This 497-nucleotide ribosomal RNA is filed under the name uncultured bacterium. Its description in RNAcentral is "partial 16S ribosomal RNA". It matches the Rfam family "Bacterial small subunit ribosomal RNA", at positions 28 to 507 of the family's 1533-position model. The record is from RNAcentral.
GAUGAACGCUGGCGGCGUGCCUAAUACAUGCAAGUCGAGCGAACAGACGAGGAGCUUGCUCCUCUGACGUUAGCGGCGGACGGGUGAGUAACACGUGGAUAACCUACCUAUAAGACUGGGAUAACUUCGGGAAACCGGAGCUAAUACCGGAUAAUAUAUUGAACCGCAUGGUUCAAUAGUGAAAGACGGUUUUGCUGUCACUUAUAGAUGGAUCCGCGCCGCAUUAGCUAGUUGGUAAGGUAACGGCUUACCAAGGCAACGAUGCGUAGCCGACCUGAGAGGGUGACCGGCCAAACUGGAACUGAGACACGGUCCAGACUCCUACGGGAGGAAGCAGUAGGGAAUCUUCCGCAAUGGGCGAAAGCCUGACGGAGCAACGCCGCGUGAGUGAUGAAGGUCUUCGGAUCGUAAAACUCUGUUAUUAGGGAAGAACAAAUGUGUAAGUAACUAUGCACGUCUUGACGGUACCUAAUCAGAAAGCCACGGCUAACUACGUG